Non-coding RNA from Pseudomonas sp. G5(2012), 148 nucleotides. Lineage: Bacteria; Pseudomonadati; Pseudomonadota; Gammaproteobacteria; Pseudomonadales; Pseudomonadaceae. The record is from Rfam.
GUCCACAGAGAAUGUCCGCCGUUGUUGUCGGCGACAUGCCCAGGUAGCCCUGGUCUUCAAGGUUACGGCGCUGCCGCGCUGACCAUCCCGUUCGCUGCGCAUCCAUGAAGGCGAACACACCACCGCCCGCCAUGCGGUGGACGGAUGC